CCUACGGGGGGCUGCAGUAGGGAAUCUUCCGCAAUGGACGCAAGUCUGACGGAGCAACGCCGCGUGAGUGAAGCAGGAUGUCGGUUCGUAAAACUCUGUUGUUAGAGAAGAACAGCGCAUAGAGUAACUGUUAUGCGUGUGACGGUAUCUAACCAGAAAGCCACGGCUAACUACGUGCCAGCAGCCGCGGUAAUACGUAGGUGGGAAGCGUUGUCCGGAUUUAUUGGGCGUAAAGCGAGCGCAGGCGGUCAAUUAAGUCUGAUGUGAAAGCCCCCGGCUCACCCGGGGAGGGUCAUUGGAAACUGGUUGACUUGAGUGCAGAAGAGGAGUGUGGAAUUCCAUGUGUAGCGGUGAAAUGCGUAGAUAUAUGGAGGAACACCAGUGGCGAAGGCGACGCUCUAGUCUGUAACUGACGCUGAGGCUCGAAAGCGUGGGUAGCAAACAGGAUUAGAUACCCGAGUAGUC
Molecule: ribosomal RNA, 465 nt
Filed under: uncultured Granulicatella sp.
Lineage: Bacteria; Bacillati; Bacillota; Bacilli; Lactobacillales; Carnobacteriaceae
Description: bacterial SSU rRNA
Rfam family: Bacterial small subunit ribosomal RNA
Source: RNAcentral